GUGGGUGUAGCCCAACGGUUAGGAGGCGCAUGACUGUGGAUCAUGACAGUGUGGGUUCAAAUCCCAUCACCCACC
Molecule: transfer RNA, 75 nt
Filed under: Carboxydothermus hydrogenoformans Z-2901
Lineage: Bacteria; Bacillati; Bacillota; Clostridia; Thermoanaerobacterales; Thermoanaerobacteraceae
Rfam family: tRNA
About the family: Transfer RNA (tRNA) molecules are approximately 80 nucleotides in length. Their secondary structure includes four short double-helical elements and three loops (D, anti-codon, and T loops). Further hydrogen bonds mediate the characteristic L-shaped molecular structure. tRNAs have two regions of fundamental functional importance: the anti-codon, which is responsible for specific mRNA codon recognition, and the 3' end, to which the tRNAs corresponding amino acid is attached (by aminoacyl-tRNA synthetases). tRNAs cope with the degeneracy of the genetic code in two manners: having more than one tRNA (with a specific anti-codon) for a particular amino acid; and 'wobble' base-pairing, i.e. permitting non-standard base-pairing at the 3rd anti-codon position.
Source: Rfam by way of RNAcentral